RNAcentral lists this long non-coding RNA (1525 nucleotides) under Anas platyrhynchos platyrhynchos (common mallard). Its description in RNAcentral is "lncRNA (ENSAPLG00000020274.1)". Lineage: Eukaryota; Metazoa; Chordata; Aves; Anseriformes; Anatidae. The record is from RNAcentral.
AUGGGUGCGGGGAGCCCGGCGGUGCCAGCGCGGCGUCUCCUUCGCCGAAUUGAGCCAAGGACUUUGGUCAGGGCGCAGGGGGCGAGUUUGGAGGCAGGGACGAAUCCAGGUCAACCCCGGCCGCUCCCCGACGCCACCGCGACGCCGCUGGUGCCAGCACGGCCACCGGGCAGGGGCACCGGGCACGGGCACCACGGGGGGGCUGGCACACGGGGGGGGGGCUGGCAGUGCCGUGCGAGCUGCCCGGGCUCCAGUUUCCAUCCUCAGGCCCAGCACCCGGUGCCACGCAGCCCCCCCAGCACGGCUGGAAGCCCCCCUCUGCGGGGGCUCCUUGCAGAGACCCCAACCCCGGGGGGUGCCGGGGCCGGGGGCUCACGGUGCCGCGGGGAGCCCCCAGCCCGGUGCCCCGGCAGCCGAGGUUAUGGGGCAGAGCAGGGAGCUCCCCACCAUUGUCCCGCGCCCCCCGGUGCUGCUGACCCAGCACCCGGCCACAAAACCGCCUCCGUCCCCAAAACCGGGGGCACCGGGCUGGGUGCCAAGGCGGGGGGUGGCAGGACAGGGCCCCGCACCGGGCUCCCGGCAGCAGAACGGCAGCCGGGGCUCCCCGGGAUGCUCACCGGCCCCUCACCGUGCCCGUCCCCGGGCCACACCGAGGGCUGCGGGAGCGGCGGUGGCGGUGCCCGCCCCGAGGACACGGCGGCUGCUAUUUCGGGAGCGCAUCCCGGGAGGUCGAGUGACAACCAGGCGCGGGGGGCGGCGCAGGCUCGGGGACGCUGCGGUGCUGCCAGCACCGGGGCUGCCACCGGGAUCGCACCGGCAGGGCCCCCGGUGCCCACAGCCCCCGGUGCUGUGUCCGCGUCCCCCCGGUGUCCCCACGCACCCAGGGGAACGGGCCCGGAGCCGCCGUGGGGACGCGCGGUGACAUCCCGGGGGGCACCGGGCUCGGCUGCAGCUCCCGGUAACACCGGGUGGGCUCCGGUGGGCACCGAACCCCCCCCCCAGGGACCCCGCGGAGGGGAGCAGGGAAGUGCCGGGGACCUGCCGGGCCCGUGUCCCCCCCCGGGGCGUCCCCACCUCGGUCCCCCGGUGCCGCCGUGUCACCGCCAGGGCCACCGCCACCGGUACCGGUACCGGCAGGGCCCCGCGGUGUGGAUCCGGGGCAGGGCCGUGCCCGGUGCUGGCCGCUUACCGUGGCGCUGCCCCGUGCCCCGGGACCUCCAUACCGGGGGGACCGGGCCGGGACGAGGCCGGACGGCGCUGCCCGGGGCUGGCACCUCCCGGGGCUGCCCCUCCGGUACCGGUACCGCUGCCGGUGUCCGGGCCAAGCCCUGCAGGAGGCGGCGGCCGCCCCCCCGCUGAGUCAGGCCGAGCCCCCCCGGGGCCGUUCCAUCACCGGGGACACCGGGCGGGCCGCUCCGCCCUGCCACAACCGGGCCCCCCCCGGGGCCGCUCCAUCCCCGGCCCCCCGCCCCCCCCCCCCUCCGCCACCACCACCGGCAGAGGCCCCGCCGCGCCCCCCCCUCCU